RNAcentral lists this ribosomal RNA (468 nucleotides) under uncultured bacterium. Its description in RNAcentral is "partial 16S ribosomal RNA". It matches the Rfam family "Bacterial small subunit ribosomal RNA", at positions 28 to 507 of the family's 1533-position model. The record is from RNAcentral.
GACGAACGCUGGCGGCGUGCUUAACACAUGCAAGUCGAACGGAAAGGCCCUGCUUUUGUGGGGUGCUCGAGUGGCGAACGGGUGAGUAACACGUGAGUAACCUGCCCUUGACUUUGGGAUAACUUCAGGAAACUGGGGCUAAUACCGGAUAGGAGCGCCUGCUGCAUGGUGGGGGUUGGAAAGUUUCGGCGGUUGGGGGUGGACGGGGGGCUUAUCAGCUUGUGGGUGGGGUAGUGGCUUACGAAGGCUUUGACGGGUAGCCGGCCUGAGAGGGUGACCGGCCACAUUGGGACUGAGAUACGGCCCAGACUCCUACGGGAGGCAGCAGUGGGGAAUAUUGCACAAUGGGCGGAAGCCUGAUGCAGCAACGCCGCGUGCGGGAUGACGGCCUUCGGGUUGUAAACCGCUUUCGCCUGUGACGAAGCGUGAGUGACGGUAAUGGGUAAAGAAGCACCGGCUAACUACGUG